Molecule: long non-coding RNA, 272 nt
Organism: Notolabrus celidotus (New Zealand spotty)
Lineage: Eukaryota; Metazoa; Chordata; Actinopteri; Labriformes; Labridae
Exons: 2
Source: RefSeq, a predicted model, not a curated record
UCACCGUGCUGCAAUCAAGUCUGCUCACCUGCUGCUAAUCUGCAAUCAAGCCACCAACUCUGUCUGCAGUACUUAAGCCCGGCUCAGUCCUCCACUCAUCACCAGAUUGUCCAUUUACCAAGCGUGGUACUCAGAUCUCUGUUCAACUUCUUAACAACCAAACUCCAAGCUCCAGGACCACAGCCAGCCACUCACCAUCCAUAGAGUGCCCUGGAAACCUGAACUCUACCUGUUGCAAGUUUUCUCAUUAAAACCCUGUUUUCAAGACUCAA